This is a long non-coding RNA of Raphanus sativus (radish), 757 nucleotides long. RefSeq lists it as uncharacterized. The record is from RefSeq and is a predicted model, not a curated record. NCBI's taxonomy places the organism in Eukaryota, Viridiplantae, Streptophyta, Magnoliopsida, Brassicales, Brassicaceae. The transcript is spliced from 3 exons.
UGGGAUGACCCCCACUCCAUCCGGAUUGCUGCACAAUGCUCUUCUUCUCAGAUGACGAAGGAUGAGGACGGCUAUUUGCCAAUAGUCCACAGGAUCGGGCAAACACCACAUGCCGUUGUUCGUUUGAACAUGGCCAAAAGGAACAACAAAGUGUUGCCAUCGCUUCUUGACCUUUUUCGGGAAACCCACUCGAGAGGUGGAGUUUUUGUGGAUCUUCGUUCCGAGAAGAUUCACAGUGAUGUCACAGCUCGGAUUGCUGAACGCCAAACUCAGCUCAUAGAGUAGUCACCGAUGGUAUUCCCGUUGAGUUGUCUACCGUCGAGUUGGACACCAUUUACGAACAGGUUAUCCCUAAAAAAGAGGACGGAUCUUGGGCAUAUGAUUUGUAAACGAUGUUUAACGGGUGACAUCGUCCUAUGCCUAGAGACAUGAUACAGGAAAAGCUCGAUCUUAUGGUGGAUGGAAAUCCGCGGAUGCAGGAGAUGUUGCGGGCUAGACGAGAGGCACUCAACCGUCCACCGAGCCGUACUGCGAAACAUGAAGCUGUGGACUUAAAGCAAACCAAUGUCCGAGACUUUUUCAGAGAAGAGCUUCCCUAGUUUUUUUGUAUAAUAUUUUCUUUUCUAGCUUUUUAUGUAAAAAAUUAUAACUCUUUUAUUUAUGCAGUUUUUAAUUUCAGAAUUUUAAAUUAUUAUUUUUCAUAAAUUUAAAUUUAAAAUAAUUUUAUAUUUUAUUUUUUGGAUUAAUUAAAACUAAA